Molecule: ribosomal RNA, 253 nt
Filed under: uncultured bacterium
Lineage: Bacteria
Description: partial 16S ribosomal RNA
Rfam family: Bacterial small subunit ribosomal RNA
Source: RNAcentral
UACGUAGGGGGCUAGCGUUGUCCGGAAUCAUUGGGCGUAAAGCGCGUGUAGGCGGUUCGGUAAGUCCGCUGUGAAAGUCGGGGGCUCAACCCUCGGAUGCCGGUGGAUACUGUCGGACUAGAGUACGGAAGAGGCGAGUGGAAUUCUCGGUGUAGCGGUGAAAUGCGUAGAUAUCGAGAGGAACACCUGCGGCGAAGGCGGGUAGCUGGGCCGACACUGACGCUAAGGCGCGAAAGCCAGGGGAGCGAACGGG